CCGUCCCUGGGAUUGUCCAGGCAAGAACACUGGAGUGGGUUGCCACACAGACAAGUAAAAGGUAACUCAACCUAGGGAAACAGAUGGCAGCUCUGGGGCUCCUUUUUCAGGCUGGGAAGGGCAAUCUGGAAAUGCUUCCUAGUAGAGGGGGCUACAUGAAUUAGCCCUGGAGACAGGGGAAGGGUGGUCAUCUCUCUAGGUACCAUACAGCAUGGAGCCUCUGGUAUGGACGGGAGUGUAAACGACAAGAUUUACAUUCUCCAAAGAUCUCUCAGCGGAGUGAAUGGAUGGAGGAAAGUAAGCUUGGAACUCCUGAUACAGUCCAAGCAAAAGAUGACGCUUCACAAACCAGUUUAGCCAUUGGUUGGACAGCCAAAGGGGCUCUCUGGAAGAAGCCACCUGCUAUGUGCUGAAGCAGCCUUGUGGAGAGACCCGUGUGGUUGGGACAGAGACUGCCGACAACCGUGCGAGUGAACUUAGAAGCUGAUCCAACCCUCCAGUCCUAGGUGAGCCUUCAUAUGAGAAGGCAGCCCUGUCUGACACCUUGACCGCAAUUUCAUGGGAGACUUUGAAUCAGAGAAACUCAACUACACUGUGCCCAGAUUCCUG
Bos taurus (domestic cattle) is the source of this 609-nucleotide long non-coding RNA. The record is from Ensembl. Lineage: Eukaryota; Metazoa; Chordata; Mammalia; Artiodactyla; Bovidae.